UACGUAGGGGGCAAGCGUUGUCCGGAAUCAUUGGGCGUAAAGCGCGUGUAGGCGGCUCGGUAAGUCCGCUCUGAAAGUCCAGGGCUCAACCCUGGGAUGCGGGUGGAUACUGUCGGGCUCGAGUCCGGAAGAGGCGAGUGGAAUUCCCGGUGUAGCGGUGAAAUGCGCAGAUAUCGGGAGGAACACCAAUGGCGAAGGCAGCUCGCUGGGACGUGACUGACGCUGAGACGCGAAAGCGUGGGGAGCAAACAGG
RNAcentral lists this ribosomal RNA (253 nucleotides) under uncultured bacterium. RNAcentral describes it as "partial 16S ribosomal RNA". It matches the Rfam family "Bacterial small subunit ribosomal RNA", at positions 524 to 776 of the family's 1533-position model. The record is from RNAcentral.